UGGGGAAUAUUGCACAAUGGGCGCAAGCCUGAUGCAGCCAUGCCGCGUGUGUGAAGAAGGCCUUCGGGUUGUAAAGCACUUUCAGCGAGGAGGAAGGGUAGUGUGUUAAUAGCACAUUGCAUUGACGUUACUCGCAGAAGAAGCACCGGCUAACUCCGUGCCAGCAGCCGCGGUAAUACGGAGGGUGCAAGCGUUAAUCGGAAUUACUGGGCGUAAAGCGCACGCAGGCGGUUUGUUAAGUCAGAUGUGAAAUCCCCGCGCUUAACGUGGGAACUGCAUUUGAAACUGGCAAGCUAGAGUCUUGUAGAGGGGGGUAGAAUUCCAGGUGUAGCGGUGAAAUGCGUAGAGAUCUGGAGGAAUACCGGUGGCGAAGGCGGCCCCCCUGGACAAAAGACUGACGCUCAGGUGCGAAAAGCGUGGGGAGCAAAACAGGAUUAGAUACCCUGGUAGUCCACGCUGUAAAACGAUGUCGACUUGGAGGUUGUGCCCUUGAGGCGUGGCUUCCGGAGCUAACGCGUU
This 519-nucleotide ribosomal RNA is filed under the name uncultured bacterium. Its description in RNAcentral is "partial 16S ribosomal RNA". It matches the Rfam family "Bacterial small subunit ribosomal RNA", at positions 355 to 861 of the family's 1533-position model. The record is from RNAcentral.